UUCUAAAUGGGAAAUACAUAUCUAAUAAUUGAGUCAACAGGUGGAGGGUCCUCUCAUUAUUAUUUUUUUCUACAUAUGCUUUUUUAUGCAUUCUAAAUGGGAAAUACAUAUCUAAUAAUUGAGUCAACAGGUGGAGGGUCCUUUCAUUAGUUUUUUUUUCACAUAUGCUUUUUUAUGCAUUCUAAAUGGGAAAUAAAUAUCUAAUAAUUGAGUCAACAGGUGGAGGGUCCUCUCAUUAGUUUUUUUUCACAUAUGCUUUUUUAUGCAUUCUAAAUGGGAAAUAAAUAUCUAAUAAUUGAGUCAACAGGUGGAGGGUCCUCUCAUUAGUUUUUUUUUCCCAAAUAUGCUUUUUUAUGCAUUCUAAAUGGGAAAUAAACAUCUAA
Non-coding RNA from Nerophis lumbriciformis (worm pipefish), 383 nucleotides. NCBI's taxonomy places the organism in Eukaryota, Metazoa, Chordata, Actinopteri, Syngnathiformes, Syngnathidae. The record is from RefSeq and is a predicted model, not a curated record.